Molecule: ribosomal RNA, 415 nt
Filed under: uncultured bacterium
Lineage: Bacteria
Description: bacterial SSU rRNA
Rfam family: Bacterial small subunit ribosomal RNA
Source: RNAcentral
UGGGGAAUAUUGCACAAUGGGGAAGACCCUGAUGCAGCAACGCCGCGUGAAGGAAGACGGUUUUCGGAUUGUAAACUUCUGUUCUUAGUGAAGAAUAAUGACGGUAGCUAAGGAGCAAGCCACGGCUAACUACGUGCCAGCAGCCGCGGUAAUACGUAGGUGGCAAGCGUUGUCCGGAAUUACUGGGUGUAAAGGGAGCGCAGGCGGGAGACCAAGUCAGCUGUGAAAACUACGGGCUUAACCUGUAGACUGCAGUUGAAACUGGUUUUCUUGAGUGAAGUAGAGGUUGGCGGAAUUCCGAGUGUAGCGGUGAAAUGCGUAGAUAUUCGGAGGAACACCGGUGGCGAAGGCGGCCAACUGGGCUUUAACUGACGCUGAGGCUCGAAAGUGUGGGGAGCAAACAGGAUUAGAUACC